GUCUACGGUCAAACCACCCUGAAUGCACCUGCUCUCCUCUGCUCUCAGAAGCUAAGCAGGGUUGGGCCUGGUUAGUACUUGGAUGGGAGACCAUCUAAGAAUACCAGGUGCUGUAGACU
This is a ribosomal RNA of Peromyscus maniculatus bairdii (prairie deer mouse), 119 nucleotides long. The record is from Ensembl. Lineage: Eukaryota; Metazoa; Chordata; Mammalia; Rodentia; Cricetidae.